This 254-nucleotide ribosomal RNA is filed under the name uncultured bacterium. RNAcentral describes it as "partial 16S ribosomal RNA". It matches the Rfam family "Bacterial small subunit ribosomal RNA", at positions 524 to 776 of the family's 1533-position model. The record is from RNAcentral.
UACGUAGGGGGCUAGCGUUGUCCGGAAUCAUUGGGCGUAAAGCGCGUGUAGGCGGUCCGGUAAGUCCGCUGUGAAAGUCGGGGGCUCAACCCUCGGAUGCCGGUGGAUACUGUCGGGCUUGAGUUCGGGAGAGGGAAGCGGAAUUCCGGGUGUAGCGGUGAAAUGCGUAGAUAUCCGGAGGAACACCGGUGGCGAAGGCGGCUUCCUGGACCGAUUACUGACGCUGAGGCGCGAAAGCUAGGGGAGCAAACGGG